GUUCCUAUCGAUAGAAAGUUGUUUGAUUUUUCUGAACUUUUUGGAAGGAUAAUGCCUCGUAUUAAAUAUGUGCAGUUGGAGCUGUUUCCUUUUGAACUUGGAGAUUCGGCUGAUUUAUUAUACUCAUGGAUCAAGGCUUGCAAACUUCAAGCUCUGGACGAUCAUGGCCAAAUACGACAACUAAAGGACGAAACUAAAUAGUAACAUAGUAAACCGUAACGGAACAAGAAUAAGGAUCGGAGCAAGAAUACAGUCUUCCAAGAAGUCUUUGCAUGAGCAAGAAUUUGAACGUCUGCUGGAAUUUGAUUACCUAUUCAUGCCGUCGGAAAAGAUCGGUUUCAAAAAGAUUCAACUUCUCAAGAUCCCGUCUACGUCGUUGCUGAGUUUUGUAAACUCAGUCAAGAUAAAGACGAUUCCUUGGCAACUGUGGACCAUCGGAUAAGUAAAAAUGUUAAGCCUGAUGGCUGUAGUAGAAAAAUGUUAAAUUUGUGUUGUGCAUUAGAAAUGUAUUUUGCUAUGUUAUAAAUCUCAAUUAACUAACAUCAAUACAGUGUCGUUUGAAAGGAUGUUAAUAUUUUCUUAAUCACUUUUAAUUCAGUAAACUAUAUGGAUGCAGCAGAGAACUCCUAUUGGAAUUUAAAUUCGCAAUCUCAUUAAAAGUUUCUAAUUAAAAUGCGGGCUGUAAACUUAAAAUAUUAAAAGGAUGUUGCUGUAUUUUGACUCUUUAAAAUUAGAUUGCAUGUUUGAAUAUUAAAUUGAAUUUUAAAUAGACAACUUACUGAUUUGAUAGUUCUUCAAUGUAAAUUCGUCAUUUAACAUGUAUAUAAAAUGGUAAUAUAGCUUCAUUUAUGGUUGAACUUUCCCAUUUAAAGGCUCACAUUAAAAUGCAUAUUUUUACAGAAAGACUUAAACCUACACUUACAUUUUAAUAAUUUGAAAUGAGUAACACACGGCGGAUGUUUCAUAAACGACCACAAACAAAACUGAAUAGUGCACACAACACAUACUGUGAUAAAACUUUGGUAGUAAAGUGUUAUCUUAAACGAGAGUAAUUUGUCCCAAAUAAAAAGGAACAGCACUGGCAUAUACCGUUGAUCACUUCAAUCGCAUUCCUUUAAAGUGUGACACAAGCUUUGCGUAUAUAUUCGCAAUUUAAUCUACUUCCCUAACCUGAACUAUUUAAAAAUAAAGUAACCAUGCGUCAUGAAUAACUUUGGUUAAGAAUAUGUUAUAGUACUGAAUUGCUAAUUGCUAGGUAAAUUUAAUUUAAGGUAAUACGAUCUAUGCAAUAACUUUAAACUCUAAUUUGUCGGUAACCACCAUCGCUUAACUGAACAUUCCAAAUCGCAAUAGGGGGAGUAAUUUACGGUUUUCUUGUAUUCUGCGAGUUGACUAUAUUUUAACGCAACAGAAAAUUAGACGACACUCCGAACAUUCUAUUCAAAGAGGUUCUAACAGUCAGAAAUCGUCCUUAAAAUCGGUGUAUAAUUUUUAUAAACGCAACUAAUUUGUAGAUCGUCGUUAAUUAAAACUUGGUUACUUUCUAAAUUUGAUAAUAACAAAAGCAGAUCGCGUCUUUUCAAAAUUGAAACCACGAGUUAAACCAUAGGAAUUCCGGAUUAUUUCCAGAAUCUGUUGAAAGUAUUAAGUUAAGCUUCUUCAGAAAUAUGUACACUGACGCAAUUUGGUCGAAACUUGGCCCGAGCGUCAAACUUCAAAACAUUUCGAGAAGGGAUGCGACAGUUGUGGGAUAUUAAAGGGUCGGUGCGCGCACCAUAGAAUAGGAUUUCAAACGAAAGUCGAAGGGUGGAUGGGAUGGAAAGGGUGGUGGGAUGCCAGCCGGCUGGUGAUAGGUCGGGACAUGUUGGAAUGGUCAGGACGGUACUAGGUGGGGAAGAAAUUAACUGGAUCUUUCAACAGUAUUUCGGAAAUAUCUGAAUUUCUAUGAACUCGUGAUAGAAAUUCUAUCUUAACUUUAACUAUUAAUUUCAAUGUCUUUGUUUCCGAAGAAAUUUCAGGAAAUGAACGUGUCGGAAAUUCUAAUUUAUUAUUACUGUAAGCUCUAAAAAUUUUAAGGUUGCUUUAUUAGCUUAGUUCCAUGUAUAAUUGGAAAUUGCCACUAUAGUUGGAUUUCUUUUAAUUGUAUUAAAGAUUUCUCUUGUAUGUUAAUUUCGAUGUAUUCCCUUCACUUAAACACUAACUGUAUGCCGUAUAAGUACUGAGCAACAAAAAAAUUUGAAACGGUUAUUAAAUAGUCCAUUUAAUCAAUUUUCCUCAAAUUCGAUAUUAAAGGCGAUAAUGAUAUUAAAUCUGAAUUCUUUCGUAAUGUUAAACUAACUUUUCUUAGAAUAGUGUUCAAUAUUCUUGUACCAUAAUGGAAAAAUCGAUUAAUAAAACCUGCACAUAAUGAGAAUUUGUGAAGUAGAAACGCUUGAGUCCCUUAAACUCAGAGUACCUCGAUACAGACACGCUAAAUGAUAUAUUAAUAAUUAAAUAGUGCUAUACAAUAUUGACUUUUACAACUAAUCUUUUGAAUCGCCCACAAAUACACCGUUUCAACGCAUUCGGUCACAAUUUUACCGUCACGUCCUCGUAUAAAUCCAACAAAUUUCGGAUUCAAUUUUUGGGGUUGAAAUUUAACGUUUUUUGGAAUAAAUGUCUAAAAUUUUGUUAGGUCAGAGUCGAAAUACAGCGUACAAUGCGAAAUUUCACUUCAGAAAAUUAUUUAAUCUUAAAUAAAGACUUCACUCCUUAAGACUAAUCUUUUAUUAUAGACUUCUAUAGUAAUCGGAUAUUUUAUUCCACGCGAAUUUAGCAAGAAUCUUUUCAAACGAUGCUGGAAAUUUAUACUACACCGUGUUGCAUUGGCUGAAAGAGCAUAAACUGAAGCAAAUAAAAUCUGUUGCUUUUAAAAUGAGAAUGUUAUGUAUUCAGUCUGAAAUUAGUUUGACUAGAGUGGUGUACUAUGGUAAAUGGAAAUCUAAAUGUUUUUAAAUAUGUUUAUCAUAAGAUUGAUUCAAUACUAGAAAUUUUGAGCUUUGUUCCAGCUAAUGUAUCAAUAUGGGAUGUUGAUGAUAUCAAUUGUUACACAAAUCGGAAGCUCCGGAAAUGAAGACGGUGAUGCUCAAUUGCGCUGGUCAGUGUUCGAUAUUCAAAAACAGUGAAAUUUCUUAUGCUAUCUAUAGGAGUCUAACUGUAAAAUCAUAUGGAUAGGGCCACAUGACUUCAUUGUCCUAUUCUUCAUAAAUUGGGCAAUAGUUUAUUUGAUCAAAUGGUUCCGAAACUUUUUGAAUUCCGUUUAAGAUGCAAUUUUAAAUCGCCAAUUAUUCAGCGAGAUUUCUGCUAGUUUCCAGGUGCAUGUCUUCUGUCAGUGAAGUAUCGCAUUUCCCCUUCUCGCUACAUCUUUGGGCAGAUAUCAUGCAUUUUAAAAUUUGAAUUAAACACAAUUUUUUCAAUCAUUAAAUCUUUAGAAGAUUCUUAUUGUUCCAAAGCUUAGCAGAAAUUUAACAUAAAAGAGGAUGGAUAAGUGUUCUUGCAUCUUAUGCUUACCAAAGAUUGAACAAGUUUGUCUUUAGUGGAAUACCUCUGUAUAGUCUCGGGAUAGAUUUACUAUGGUUUACUAAUUUUGCCUUUAUUGCACUUAAAAUAAAUCCAAGGAGCUCCCUUAAUUGACAAUAACAAAUCUAUCUGCUCAGAUUAGCAGUAUGGUCAUUUACUGGAUUCGUAAACAAAAAUGGUCAAUGAGAUUGGAUAUAGAAUCCAUAAGCAAAACGAAUAGCAUUAUGGAUAUUCCAUGCCAAUUCUGAGAACAAGUCGAAUUUUGAUUUAUUCCUUGCAACUCAAGAUUGCAAGCAUAAAUUGCAUAUUUCGCUCAAUUUUCUGGGAAUUCGACAAAUCCAUCUUAUUAAAGCUAUCCUCUGUUUCUGCACAAUGGCCUUCAUGGUGUGCAUUAAUUCCUUCCAAACUUUCUUGGCUGUAAAGUUCGAUCUUGAUGUCGAUUCUGUGAACUCGAGUGGUAAUAGUAGCUUCAUGUGAAAUCGAAGAUCUGAAUUUCUAGUCAUGCUUAUUUACGUACUUCACACUAGUUCAUUACUUUAGAUGGUGCCAUCCUAAUUCAAUUAUCGUGCUUCCCUACCUCAAUAUUGAAGCAGUCGAUCACAUUCAAAAUGGUACUGAAGCUUUCAAUUUAUAGGAUGGUUUUCUAGAAAAGCUUUAAAUAUUUUUCUCGUAAUACAUGGAUUUCCGACUCCAAGUUGAUUUUUUAUACGAUUUGAAUCCAGACGGAAAAGACUCAUUUGGUAUUCUGUAUUUGUAACAUUUAUAGGAUAAUCGGAUAUUUAUUGCGAAAAUUGAGUUCUUAAGUAUGCAAUUAGUUAACUUAAAUAUUUUUCCAGGAGCAAAUUUGGUGCCUACGAAAUCGAUCAGAUAAGCUUUUUCUAUUCAGAUAAAUUGGUAUUUAUUGCCUUAAACUAUUCACACAUUAAGCCUGAAAAGUUAAAUUAGUCUGAAGUUUUCUUAACACUUCAUUCUUUAUAAAUUAAGAUUUAGAUCCAAUCCCUUACAGUAUAAGUUUCGCACAAGAUUUCUCGAAAUGUUAAUCCUUGAAUUAUCCGUGGAUCAACUUCAUUCCUUUUUACUAUCCCUUUUUAUAAAAUGAAACGUUGCAUUUUAAUCUUCAGUGAGGAUAUUUCUUGCUUAUAUUUAAGGUCAUUUGCCGAUAUUAAAUUUCCUCUGAUUAAGGAAGAUUCGAUACAAGAUUAUAAGACUAAAUUAUGAAACUUGGAGCAAACCUAAUCGGGAAUAUCGCCUCCAUAGACUUGAGACUAUACCGAAUCCAAACGCAAUAUAAGCCUGUAAUGUAUCCUAGUGUCAAAAGUAAAAUUAAAUGAAUAAAACACAAGCGAGAUGGAAAACAAUACAAUUUCUCCAAGUCCUAUUAAACUUGCUAUCAUAAGCACUUGUAAAUGAAUAGAUUUUGCUUAGUUAAAAACUUCAGUAAACAUAGAUUAUGAACCGAUGAAUCAAAUUGUUAUUUUGGUUUGUGACUUGCACGCUGGUGUUUACUUGCACCCCUUUUAUCAAAUGGACAUGCAAUAUUCAGUUGAGUACAAACCAAUAGAUGCCGAUAGCAGUCUAAGUUUUAUUCAAAAUUCUCUUAAUGAAUCAUAUCCUAGAUUCUCGAAAUAACAUUCUGGUACCCGACGUUAGCCCUUAUUAGUUGCUUGUAGUAUCAAUUGGCAGUUGAGAAAAUACAUGGAUUUAUAACGUGCAUUUCCAUUUUCGUUUGAAUGGAGUAAUUCUUAGAUCAGGUUUAAAGUUGAGGAUUGCAUGAAACUUGAAACAUUAUGUAUGAGAAACUGAAUAGUGCCUUAUGUUCUGGUGUAUAGAUUAAGCGAAGUAGGGUUUUUGAAUUUGCCGUUUACUCUGGCCAACUACAUAGUUUUGUUCCUACUUUGUUAUCUUUUGCGAUAGUUAAGUAAAUCGGAAGCAAGAGUUUGCUGUUCAUGGAGCCAUAUCAAGCCCAUAGAGAAACUAAAGUAGCAAUUUUCUUGACUCGCUUCCAAGUACGUGUAUUAAAUGCAUCAGAACAUGCACCGUUAUCUGCGGGCAAUUUUCAUGAUCAUAUUUACAAGCUCAAGACUUUUAAUUCAGAUGUGAAAGAAAAUACAGCUAUCAAAUAUUGCGAAAUUAUUCUAGAAUGCCCCAAUUUUCAGCAUAAGCAUUGCUAAUUGCUUGUACAUCAUAGCUAUGAAUAAGAAUGCUCAUGUUAUCCAGAAACCUGAACCUGGUUAUAGAGAACAGGAAUACUAAGUGAAAUAGACGGAUUAUCUUGUGUAUAGAAGUGUACAGCAUGCUUCUGUCUUCUAGUCUGACUUCUACAGUAACAUGAAGGGCAGUUUUAUCAAGACAUUGAUAGUUGGUGGAGAUCAAAUUAAUAUAUUCAAAUCUACAGUUGCUUGUACUUUUGAAAUUGUAUAUAGGAAGAUAUUUAAUUCUAUCUUGACUUUAAAUGUUCUAAUUAUAAAUAUAUUGCGAAAACAUGCAAGAGUGUGUGUGCAUAUAGCCACAUAUUAGAGCGAAGGUUCGAGAGUAGUGGACGAUAGCUGUAAAAUAUCUUCCAAAUAAUGGAUUGCUUCAGACUGAACAAUUCCACUUCAAAGCAAUAAGAUUUUCCGCAACCAUAUGUAGUCUAUUCAUAAUUUUUAACGUCUGAGGUCAACUAGUACCUCAUAAUUUUUACGAUGUCUUUACUGCUUGUUGUUGGUUUUUACCUUGGCAUGUUUUCUUUAAAUCGGUGUUUUAAUAAUUGACGAUUCGUUAUAUUGCAUUGGCUGUCCAGAUUUAGAUUGUAAGGUAAAAAGAAACGGGUUACGAAAAAGUUUUGCAACUAUUGCCUUAUCCGGCUAGUGCUUUAUAGUUAGCAUACUUGUAUUCAUGAAUCAUGCUUCAACUGGUAGAAAUGAAGCCUCAUCAAAAGGAACUUGUAUGCAUGUGUUCCUCUUCCUUCAAAGUAGUUAAUCUAAGACGGUUUUUUCUUCGAAUAAUUUUUAAUUCAGAAAUACUACUAUGUGAAAAUUUAAAGAUCCAACAUUUUGUUCUUAAUUUAAAAGGUUAGGAAAUAACUAAGGAUUCAUUUUGGGUGUUCCAAAUUAUCUUUAAAUAGUACAGUAGUCUAUAGUUUUAGAUACUAGUUAUGGCCAUUUUUAGUCUUAGAUAUUAUAUAGCAUUAGAUUGUAAGUUUAAUAAAUUAACUUCUAUUAACAUUCUUUAACUGAACUCCCAAGAUGAAAUUCUUUCGUAGGGUUACAUGGAAGACUUUUGAGUGGCUCUGCCGGCAAGCCAAUCAAUCGUCUUCUGCAAAUAGUUUGAAACGCGAUGAUUGAUAACAAUGAUCAAAAUUUUAGGCUUUCACGAUUAUCUAAAUUCUACUUAAAUCGAUACUUCGUUAAAAUUUAUUUGCCUUUAAAUCCAUUUUUAAAUAAAACGGUGAAUUUAUUGCGUUUUUAUAAAUAAAGCCUUUAAAAUUUCUUUGAGUGAUGGGUUUUAUCUUGUCAAUUAAUAGCUCAAAUUUUCAAUUCUCAACUCGUGACCUCAUACAUUUUAACAGGGUCAAUUUCUAAGGAGGACGUGACUCAUGUGUGCAAGAUAUUUGGCAAUUUUAAAAUUUACCAGAAUGGACGUGGCUCAUGAAUACAAGUUUGUUAGCUUUAACGCAUCGGCUUGAUAAAGUGAUUGUUGUGACUCUUUUUCAUAUUCGUUUCAAUUUCUCACUUACCUACCUUAACACCAGCGUUUGGGUUUAAUAUGUGUAUAUUGUAGUUGUCGUUAACUUUAGGUGGGAGAUGAAUAAAUGACCGAUGUUUUAUCGGAGCUUUCAGGUUCAUAACUGAAACUAAUUGGCAUAUUCAUCAGUAUUUGUGGUCGUCUCUUCUAUAUGUGUUAUGUAAAUUCACGAGUAGCUGUUUUUACCAAUUUUCAAUUCCAUUCUGUAUAAGUAAUUGGGUUUUAAGCUUGACAGUACUGCAGGUUUUAUCUACUAGCUGUGUAUUUAAUUUUCCACUUGAUUUUAUAACGCUCAGUUUGAUACGCAGCUCGUUAUUGUAACGAUUAGUUUUGAAGAAUUCUUUGAAAAGUAGAGAAAUUCUUGAUAAAGUAGAGAAAUGGCUUAUAUCAAUGUUUUAAACAACUGCUUAGUUCUGGAUUGUUAUCUGUAAAAGUUAGAUCCUAAAUUAUCGUGCAAUAAAUUCUUUCACCUUUCAUCCACAAUCGUAUCGCAAAUUUUGCAAUCUAAAUUUUUAGAUCACAUUAGCCAAUUGAGUUGAACUUCAAAUAGCAUAUGAAUGAAUGUGUCCAUUAUCUAAUUAGCUUGCAGUCAUUAUUGGGAGCUAGAAUCUAAAUUCAUUUUUCAUCGUUCGAGCGUAAAGUGAAAUCAAAAUCGAUGCAAAAUUUCCAUGCAUCUUAAGUUUUGAUCGCCUGUCAUACCGAAUUGAAUUUUAAUGCAACAGACUAAACUGUCAAGGGUGUAUUCCUUGGAUCCAAAAUCUUUUUGAAUCAAAACUAAAUAUUUGAAGUAUAGAUUAAUCUAGUUUUUAAUUAUGAAAUAAAAUUUUAGGUUCGUGUCAAUUUUGGAUAAUUUAAAUGUAGCUCUUGCAUGAUCACUUUAGUGGUUCAAAAACUCGGCCUUCUUAUUAAAAAGUUACUUUGGGCCAUCCUGGAUAUUACUUGCUUACUUUUGUUCUCUAAAAGUGGUAGUAAAACGUUCAUUACUCAAGGCGGCAAAUUAAUUGAAGAAAGCGCAAGUGACUUAUUCUGCAAAAUAAAAUUCAGCAUGUAAUGAAGUAUUUAGUCGUAGAUUUAUUGUGAAGUCUUUUGUCUGAGCUAAUUAUAUUUGGAGGUAUGGCUUGCAUUUCGAAUCAUCUUUAUCUGGCAGAUUAAAAUUGAGUUUUCUCCGGCAGUCGUCUUGAGGCUGGAGGUUGUGUGCCAAAGUUUUGCAAGCCUGUGUCAAAAUUUUCUUCCUUCUUUUGCAUGUGUAGCCAACUGUUUCUAAUUUGUCAAGCAACUAAUACUAGGCUUGCAGUGAAUAUUAAUCUUAUAGCUCAGUGAUAUGGAAGCUUAUUUUAGAUUUUGUAACGUUUAAUUUUUUAAUCGUUGAUAUUUCAAUUUCUUUCAAAAUGCAUGCACCUUGGUAGAAUUUCGCAUACGAAAAAUGAUCAAUGCAACAUUUUCAUUUUAGAAUAUUCUUGCUUGUCAUUCUUUGACUUUUAUCCUUCUCCCUUUUUGUGUCACAUUUACAUAACUCUUAAACACUCGUAUUUUAGGAACUUAUACUGAGUUAGUAAACUAAAUAUCUUUAUAUAACAAUCGUCUUUAAGGGUUGCUUUCUUAUAAACACAUCUUCUCAUGAUGUGAAAUCCGAGCAGUAAUUGCAUUCAUUUAAUUUCCGUAUGGCGACGGUCGCUAUGGAAUUCUAAAGCAAUUAUUCAAUAUGCUAAAUUCGAAACUCGUUCUUACUUGGUGAUAAUGGUUUAUUUUUGAUUCGAAAGGUUUGAAGUACUUGAAAAGUCGUUCAUUGUUUAUCAAGUAUACGGAAUUGGCAGUGAUAAAUAUCACGAGUCAUUUCUAGACGUACUUAAUAGGCUUUAAUAUUGUACAAUUUUUAUUCCUCGUUUGUAUGCAAUACUUCUCUGAAGCGAAGGAAUUGCUUUUUUCUUGGGCCUCUCAAUAUACGCUCAUUGACAUUAACAAUCGGCAAUAAAACGAAUUUCUGAAUCGGAAAAGCUAAUAAAAUGGCCAGAUGUUCAUUUAAACAUUAGUCCAAGGAAGAGCAACAAGAUCAGUAAAUAUGAAGCAUGGAAUUGGGAAUAGUUUUCAGGAAAUAAACGCUUCAUUUAAAAAAAAUGUUUGUUCAAAAGUUAAUAUUACCGUCCCUUUGCAAUUCGUCUUUUAUGGAUGCAACUUAAUUCGAAAUGGAUCUCGGUGUAUAAUAUCGUGUAGAUCCACCAUUUCAAGUGAGAAGUGGCGAGAUUAAGUUAAUGUAUCAAGUCUUUCAAUAUAUAUAUAUCGCCAUCUUAAAUGUUCAUUUCUCUGAAUCUUUUAAAGAAUGUUGCGUGAAAUCUUAAACCUGCAACUAUUGCUGAAAAAUCCAGAUGCUGCUUGAAAUGCAUAGAAAUCCGGAUAAAGGAAUUCAAAUAAUUUCGAGCUGAAUUUACAUGUGCGGUUUGUUAUACAGCUGCUUAACGUAACUUAUCUCAAAUCAAAUAUUUGGUCUUUAAUCCUUUUUUCCGUUUGAAAUAUUAACUUGUGCAUUUGAUUGGAUUCCAACCAGCAUGGCGAGACUGCCAUAAUUUUUACAAUAUAUUCAGUAAGAUUUUUAAAAUUGGUUGUCUUUGGAUUUGUCCUGAAAUUUGAUUCUUGAUGUUACAAUAGAUGUCGUAAACUCGACCAUACUAUAGAUAUUCAAAUAUUGCUGAUCCUAUUCAAUACUUAUUCUAUGUCUGCUCUACAGGACACCGCAAUUAAUGAAAAUAUUUCUAGGCACUCAAGUUGAACGCUAUAAAAUUCUGGGCUUUUAUUAGUCUAAAAGCUGAAGGUCAUCAGAAAAAUGCAGUUUCACAUAUCACUUCUGUAAAGUCAUUCAGAUAAUUUGCUUUGGAGCAUAAUCUCUUAACUAUCGAUGGUUACCUUUACCAUAAAUAUUUGAAAUAUUGUCAGUCAUAUUGAGAUUUUAGGUUUGUGCUGAUCGCCACCUAUGGACCUUGUAUCGAAAUAAAAACUAUAAGCACAUCUUGUUGAAUGGCACACAUAAAGGGCUUCAGCAGUCAGUGAUCAAUCUUGAUACUUAAUUGGUUAAAAUGAUUAAGCUUCCUUAAAUUAUAAGGAAUUAAUAAAUUUUUGAGAUUUGUAAACAAAGAUUAGAACAGUAUUUCCAUGCCUGCCUUUUGUGCCUUCAAACUGUUGAAUUUGACUUUAUGACCAAAAGUGUAUCUAAUUGAGAUAUUGUUGAAUAGAUAUUUAGAUAUUGCUCCCUAGUCUGGGGGAAAAUCUGUCGCAUUGUUUUUCUUUGUAAUUGGAUGUCUUGAGGUGGUCCGUGCUUUCUGUACGUCUUAAUUGCUCAUUUAGAACCCUCGGCAUGUCCGUGUGUUAAGCCACCUUACUCCAAAUUCAUAUUCUUUGUUCCACUUUGGUAUGGAAACAUUCUUCACCCCCCCCCUCCUUCUCUGCCUAAAACUUUAAAUGCCAAGCUGUCCUUCAAGAGUAGCUAAGGUUUACAUAUUUUUGAAAUAUGUAACUUAAUCUGGGGAUUAUCAGUAUCGAAGCGGAUUUUUCCUAAAUUGCCAUAUGAUCACAGGAGUAUCUGUUUUGAAGGAAAACAUCGUGAAAAGUGCAAUUCUCGGAACAUGCGGUGCUUUGCGAGAAUCUUUAUUCGAGUUUUUGAGACUAGCUUAGUUACGUCACGGUUCAGAUGUUCCAACUGUUCCACAACAGUUUGCUACUAGUAAACCGACACAGAUAGUCGGUAAUUAAAUUCGUAGUAAAAACAAUACUAGAUAUAUAGCCAAAUUUCAACAAGGCCAUGAUCAUAGUUUAACCUUAAUCGAAAAACCUUACUCGCAUUCAAAUUUGUAUCAAUACGGAUUUCUGACCUUGUAUCCCUAGGUUUAUGAGAUUCAUCAUGUUCUUGUAUCUCUCAAAACUCGAACCCAUUCGUCCAUCGGCCAAAUCUUUCUAUUCCGUGACUUCUUAUUCUUUCUGAGCUGCUUAUAAUGAAAAGUGUUUCUUUUAUGCAGCUCUGACUUGUGUACGAUAUUUACAGUCUGAACCGCAUUUGUAUUCAAAUUUGAAUUGAAAUAUGCCUUCAUCAGUCUAAACCAGAUCCAGUUUUGUUCACUUUCAUUCUAUCCAUUUAAAAACUUAUUUUGAAAUUUAAUAUUUUGACCUUCAUGUAUUUGUCGAACCUUACUUUGGUCUUCUGCCAAAGAAUGGAGCAUUCAAUGAUCGUACGAGGAAGGCUAACAAGUUCUGUUGCUGGCAGAAAUAUUUAACAUCCCAAAAUAUAAUAGUGGAGGGGUAUAAUCUUGCUACAUUUAUCGAGUUUAAAUACAAGGAAUUCAGAACUCAAAUUCUCCCACAUUUGUUACAAGCGAUCAACAGAUUCCUCAAACUGAUCAGAUAAAUUUCUAGAGAACUUGCUUCUAGAUCUAUAUAGUUCUGAAUUGCUUUACUUGCUUCUGUUUCCUGUCUUCUCAUUUUAGCAAGAAUUUUUCUUGGUAUGCGAAAUCGUAAGGUCUCUGAAUUGAUCGCUUUCGGAACGUAUCUACUAUCGUUGCAAGUCUCUUCCAGUGAAAGUACUUGGCAAAUAGGUACAUCAUAAAUCCCCCUUGCACUGGAAAUGCCUGGCCAAAAAUGGUUAAAUAGUGAAACGAUUUAACACAUCAGUGUAGAACUUUCUUGGUGAAACUGCAUUCUUUUAAUGAAUGCAUUUGCCAUGCUUUCUUAAUUUGGAUUUUUCUUUUCAAGAAUAUUUAUUGGAAUCGAAAUAAUGGGGAUGUUAUUUAUAGUCCCAUUUUCCGCACACAAGACCUGCGUGCAAAAUACAAACCAGGCUUCAUUUCUAAAGUGCAGUUUUAAGCUAAGAAAUCGUUAACGAAACAAUUUUUAAAUAUGGAAAAUGCCUCGUAUUUUGAUCUGUUCUGUCGGAAGGAGCUGCAGAAAAGAAUGAGUGUCACCGUGCGUCUACUUAUAUUGCUUAAUUUCCAAGUGAAUCAACCAAUUUGUUGAAUGCAACUCGUUUUCUUAUACACGUUUUGAUGUGGAAUACUGUAUUAUACUCUUUCUAAAUGUAACCAAAUGCUUUGUAAUUGCAUGAGGCGCGAAACACACUUGUGCGAAUUCCAAUGUAAUGCAUUUGGUUUCUAAACUGUUUGUAACCUAUAUAAUGCAUAUGUUAAUACCAUACUAAAUAUUUUGUCAGUGUGGAAAUACUAGAACUAUUUGAAUUAAGGAAAUUAAAAUGUUUGUAAUCGAUGGGUAAAUAUCCUCACUGUUUGCCUUGCCCUAGUUAAAACGGCAAAUUAUCAUCUAUAUAGUUUAAUAUUAAAGUACACCACUGUAAUUGUUGCAAGUGCAUUAUACUUUUAAUAGUAAGUGAAAUGGAAUUAUUUAAAAUUGAAAUGCUCUCCUCGUACUGUUUUCAAUAUUUCAUUAUUUUGAUAAAGUAUGCCCUUAUUCAAUAUCGGUUUUUGUAACUCCUGCACAGGCAUUGUAAAAAUCGCUGUUUUGUAGACUUCUAAAUUAUCAAGCAUUUAAAAUCCUAAGAAUUUGUUUUGAUCUGUAUUGUAUAUAUAUAUCAUUUUAAGAAUAACGUAUCACAAGUUUGUCUAGAUGUUAAUAUAAUUUAAUAUUGUAUUUUUGUUCAUACGUUAACAAUGAAUUUCUAUUCAAGAAUCUCUAAAAGUAUUAUAAAGUAUAUUGACUUGUUGCAUUCUAUUUACUGAAUCUUGUUACUGCUGCAGUAGCAAAAUUGAUGUUGUAAAAUCAUUUAGAUGUCAAUGCAGAUUGACUACGAAUUUUCUACGUGUGACUUGCCUACGAAUAUUAGUAUGUAAAUUUACAAUUGAACUGCACAUUUUUAAACUUUCAGAAACGCAUUAAUCUAACUAGAUGUACUAAAUUCUAAACACGUGCAACUAAAACUUCUCUUAGCAAUAAUGUAACUUCUGUUUUUCUCAAUUUUUUUCCAUUUGCAAAGUAUCUUGUGUAUUAAAUGUGUUGCAAAUAUUCACAACUUUUGGAAAUUGAGUUUUUUCCUUAAUUAUGUCAGCUUGUUUUCCUAUUUUCUCUAAAGAUGUAAAUUUCGAAAAUCGCAGUUUGAAUCAUUUUUCGAAAAUGUCUUUUUCCAAUGAAAUCUUCGACACUUAUGAAUCUAAGGUACUUUGGGUCCAAUAAAGCAAUCAACGCAAUAUGUACAACUAUUUUAUACCUUGUAUUUCAGAUUUUAUCAUUCUAAAUGACUUUGUAUUCAACAGGUCUUUUCAUGUAUUAAACGCAUUUUGCCAAGUCCAAUGGACAUUGCAAUAUUUGUAUCAAUAUCUGUAUUAUGAAUUUAUGUAACUUCAUUUAAAACUUGU
This is a long non-coding RNA of Argiope bruennichi, 13628 nucleotides long. RefSeq lists it as uncharacterized. Lineage: Eukaryota; Metazoa; Arthropoda; Arachnida; Araneae; Araneidae. The transcript has 3 exons. The record is from RefSeq and is a predicted model, not a curated record.